CCGCAACUUUUAUUUAGUUUUAAAUGUUAUUAUUGGUGGUGGCCCCAGGGGAAGGCUAGCAAAGAUUGUGGGUGAGGGGCAAGGCAGCCAUAAAUCUCUCCUGAUUAUUUGCUGCAAACCAGCCUCAGAUACUCACACCAUGAGCACCUGGAUAAGUCUCUGUUGUUGCCUGACCCUCAGAACCUGGCACAGUUCUGACCACCCAGGAGUUAUUAAGCUCAUGGUUUUGGGUUUCACAUGCUGACCUUAUUUUGCUGAACUGCUGGCUACUUUUAGGAUAAGAAAGAAGACUGCAAGUUGAGAAAUCAUAUCUCCAAGCCUCAAGGGAUCCUGUCAUGUGGAAAUGCUGAUCUGCUCUCCCAGCAAGCCUGGGUGGGCAUCCUCAAUCUUCUGCUUCCAAUCUGUGUGACCUGGGAUGCAUACAAAGGCAACGAGUGAGCAAGGGGCUGACCGAGGUCUUCCCAGACCCAGAACUUCACUGCCUCAUGGACUCAUCAAGCACGUCAUCAACUUCCAUCUGGAGAAGAACCAACAAUAUCAUUGAGAAAUAUUUGAUGACUAAAUAUAUAGAUGAAAGCUUCACCAGUUAAUCAUAACCUAUAACAUUGAUGACGGGAAUCCAGAAGUGUACUACUACAAAGCUUCCUUAAAGUUUCAGGACUGCUAUGUGCCUGGAGAAACCUCAGCCUUAAAUGGAGAGGAGGAUGGACAUGAAGCCCAGAAGGACAAUUUUUAAUCUGAAGGUAAGCUAAACAGAGAGAGAC
RNAcentral lists this long non-coding RNA (764 nucleotides) under Macaca mulatta (Rhesus monkey). RNAcentral describes it as "lncRNA (ENSMMUG00000057482.1)". The record is from RNAcentral. Lineage: Eukaryota; Metazoa; Chordata; Mammalia; Primates; Cercopithecidae.